AGAACGAACGCUGGCGGCAUGCCUAUUACAUGCAAGUCGAACGAACUCUUCGGAGUUAGUGGCGCACGGGUGCGUAACGCGUGGGAAUCUGCCCCUUGGUUCGGAAUAACAGUUGGAAACGACUGCUAAUACCGGAUGAUGACGAAAGUCCAAAGAUUUAUCGCCAAGGGAUGAGCCCGCGUAGGAUUAGCUAGUUGGUGAGGUAAAGGCUCACCAAGGCAACGAUCCUUAGCUGGUCUGAGAGGAUGAUCAGCCACACUGGGACUGAGACACGGCCCAGACUCCUACGGGAGGCAGCAGUAGGGAAUAUUGGACAAUGGGCGAAAGCCUGAUCCAGCAAUGCCGCGUGAGUGAUGAAGGCCUUAGGGUUGUAAAGCUCUUUUACCCGAGAUGAUAAUGACAGUAUCGGAGAAUAAGCCCCGGCUAACUCCGUGCUAGCAGCCGC
RNAcentral lists this ribosomal RNA (445 nucleotides) under uncultured soil bacterium. RNAcentral's name for it is "bacterial SSU rRNA". It matches the Rfam family "Bacterial small subunit ribosomal RNA", at positions 26 to 518 of the family's 1533-position model. The record is from RNAcentral.